UACGUAGGGUGCAAGCGUUGUCCGGAAUUAUUGGGCGUAAAGAGCUCGUAGGCGGUUUGUCGCGUCGAAUGUGAAAACCCGGGGCUCAACCCCGGGCCUGCAUUCGAUACGGGCAGACUAGAGUUCGGUAGGGGAGUCUGGAAUUCCCGGUGUAGCGGUGAAAUGCGCAGAUAUCGGGAGGAAUACCGAUGGCGAAGGCAGGUCUCUGGGCUAUAACUGACGCUCAUGCACGAAAGCGUGGGGAGCAAACAGG
RNAcentral lists this ribosomal RNA (253 nucleotides) under uncultured bacterium. RNAcentral describes it as "partial 16S ribosomal RNA". It matches the Rfam family "Bacterial small subunit ribosomal RNA", at positions 524 to 776 of the family's 1533-position model. The record is from RNAcentral.